GGAAGAACGAGGAAGAAGAGGAGGUGAUUGAAGGAGAAGAUCGGUUCGUUCAAAGGAGGAAAUCAAGCAAGGAUUUGAUAUUUGUUCAAGUCCAUUAAGAAGGGAGCCAAGGAAGAAGCAAGGGGAAGUUAGUACAGAAGAAAAAGCAAAAGCAAGAGCAAGUACUCCUAAGGGCAAGGGAGUAGUGAUCGGUGGAGUUUAAAAGUGCAGGAAGCUGGCGAUCAUUUGUACAUAUAUAUUUUGUUUAAAAUGCAUCUUAUUUUGGAGUAAAGAUAUAUAUUGUAUAUCUAUUUUGGUAUGUAAAUAUUCCUCCAUAAGGAGAUGACUAAGGGCAGAUAGAUCAUAAUGACUGCUAUUGAAGGAAAUGGUCAAAUUUUUUGAUAUAAUUAUUAUUUGGCCUAAAA
Neltuma alba is the source of this 404-nucleotide long non-coding RNA. RefSeq lists it as uncharacterized. The record is from RefSeq and is a predicted model, not a curated record. NCBI's taxonomy places the organism in Eukaryota, Viridiplantae, Streptophyta, Magnoliopsida, Fabales, Fabaceae. The transcript is spliced from 3 exons.